UUUUCCCCUCAUAAUGUCCACUUGCCUUUGCAUUACAUCAGUGUCCCCACAAUGAUGUCCAGCAUCUAGAAUGUUUCCCAUGGGCAAAUGUGGACAAAUUCUAAAUAGAAAUUUUAAUAUGGGCCAUCUUCGCCUUCAAGAAUACUCCUUAACAUUCAUUGCUGUCUAGUAAAAGAAUCUAUAUCAGAAAGAAAAAUAGUAUGAAAAAGUUUUGUGCACUCAUAAAUAUCUUAUUUAGAUAUCAUUUUCUAUUGAGCAAUAAUAGACUAGCUACAAUGCUCACAAACAACUCCGAAGAAUCACAGUUAGCUCCCCAGGACUUCUGCCUAUAGGGAAGCCCGCAAUCCAGUCACAUUACCCCCAAAUUUUACUGCUAAAAAUGAUUAAUUAGGCACAAAUCCUAAUUUCGUUAUUCUCUUUGAGUGUUGGUUUUAGUUUUUAACUUAUUUCUUUUCACAUCUUUCCUCAAUUUAAUAGACUAAGUCGUUGGGUGAAGACCAAUUUCUACAGGCAAAAACAGGAGUCGUUGGGUGAACUUUCAAAAGUAGGGGUUAAUAAAAGAAUUCCAGCCAUGUGCUCGAAAGAUAACUUUUUUUUUUUGGUAACACAAAAGAUAACUAUUUUGCCGACCAUUCGACUCUGCUAUUUAGAAAAGCGGAGAUCUAUAUGCGUGUCCCUUCAGACCAUUCUCCCAAUGGAGAGAUCCAUUUUGGACGCGUGCAGUUUAAGUUUUUUGUUUUUGGCUCAGACUCCUCCGUAGGUGCGUAGUAAGUGGACACUGUUUUUGAUAUAGUAGUAUGUGGACACUUAUUCUGAUGGAAAAAACAUUAGAAAUUUAUACCUAGGGAUUGGCUUAUAUCAACCCCUGUAGCAGUGUUUAGUUGGUCAAUGGCUAAGUCAAGCCUUUUGUUAUUCAUCAUCUUCCUGCAUUGGAGCCCAAAGAUAGUUCCUCUCACAUAACCAAUCAAAUUACUUAAAACCCAAAUGCUAGGGAUUAGACAGUCCCAGACUUGAUCAAACUGCCUGAUCUGGCCAAAUGCAACAUGCUUUGUUGAUCUCUGGAAAUCACC
This 1070-nucleotide long non-coding RNA is filed under the name Elaeis guineensis (African oil palm). Its description in RNAcentral is "long non-coding RNA (EGUI_LNC020966)". Lineage: Eukaryota; Viridiplantae; Streptophyta; Magnoliopsida; Arecales; Arecaceae. The record is from RNAcentral.